Long non-coding RNA from Trachemys scripta elegans, 1667 nucleotides. RefSeq lists it as uncharacterized. The record is from RefSeq and is a predicted model, not a curated record. NCBI's taxonomy places the organism in Eukaryota, Metazoa, Chordata, Testudines, Emydidae. The transcript is spliced from 3 exons.
CUAAAAAUACCUGUGACUAAAACAUAGCCUUAAUUAUGAGUAGGCAUGGCAUGUUAGUGACUUCCUAGCAUUAGAAAAUACAGGUGGAAACCCAGUUAGAAAGUCUCUCGGUAGACACUGGUGUAUCUUAAGCUCAGUCUGCAAAAGAUACAAAUAGCCUCAGAGAAGUUCAAAAAAGGUUUAGUCCUGUCCAAAUAGCAUGUCAUUAUCUUCCUAAUAUCCCAAAGAAUGGAGGGCAGCAUCUUCCCUAGUUUGAUGGGGUUUAGGAUAAAAUAUGGGGAGAUGAAUAGUCCAAUUUAUAUGAAAGUCUGAGGAACACGUCAUCUUUGAAGAAAACAGUACAGAAGGGUCAGCCAUUGAAGCCCCUUGCUCACAAAGGCAUUUUCCUAGAAAGGUGUAAAAGCAUACCAGUAGCUGUUGGUUUAAAGGGAGGUUUUGUCAAAUUGAGAGCUAGGUUCAAGAUCCAGGUUGGGGUGGGCUCCCUGACAUGUGGGAAAAGGUUUGAUAACUAUUUGAUAAACCCAGAAGUUGCAAGGUGAGCAAACACAUAGGACUCUUCUACAGGCAAAUGAAACACUGUGGUGGCUGCCAGAUGGACUUCAGUGGAGCUCAAGGAGAGACCUCCCUUUCUUCGGGGUACUCUAAAGUAUUCUAAAACUUCCAAGAUGGGAAAAUCCAUAGGAGACAGGUGUUGCUGAGUGCACCAAUGGUAAAUCUUUUUCAUUUCUGAAGGUAAGUUUUCCUGGUGGAUUCCUUUCUACUGUUGAGCAGGACCUCCUGCACCUCCCUGGAACAGGAGAGCUCUAUCUCUGACAACCAUCCAGGUACCAGGCUUUGAGUCAGAGUUUUGAGAUGGGGUGAAGAAUGUUCCCUUUGUCCCACACGAGAAGGCUAGACAUCAAUGGUAGAUUGAUAGCCAGUCGAGAGGAGCGGUGAAGGAGAUAAGGGAACCAUACUUAUCUUGGCCAGGUUGGUGCAAUCAAAAUGCCUGUGGCUCUGUCCUGUCUGAUUUUGUUCAGGUCCCUGAGGAUUAGCAGCAUUGGAGGAAAGACAUAUAGAAGGUUCUUCGACCAUGAGCGGAGAAAGUCAUCCCCCCAAGAAUGAUGACCCAGACCUCCCUUUGAGCAGAAGUUCAUGAAUCUUCAGCUGGCAACAAUGGCAAAGGGAUCUAUCGCUGGAAAACCCCAGGUCUGACUUUGUCAAAGUAGGUUGUCCUUCAAGACAUCUCAUCCAAGAAGCUGAUCCUGCAAACACUUAGAAUGUACAUCACUUCAGUUGUCAAACUGGGAUCCAACAUAAAAAUAUUCUCCGAUUUAUUUUCUUCAGUGUGAGAAGGAUGUACUACACUAAGGACAAACUCUUCCAUUCCUGUGGAAACACACUGAACAACUAUCAAGAUUUCAAAUUAACUCUAUUUUUCUUCAGCACAAUAUGAACCUAGUAAUAUAUAUAUUUUUUAAAUAAAUGUAAUCUAAAAUGAAUGAAUUAAACUAAGAUCACUGUUAAAGAUUGACUUACAUCUACAAUUUAAAUGGAGGGAAGCAUCUAUUAUGUCCCUCAGUAUAAAAACACCAUUUUUAAAAAGAAAUGUUGCCUAAGGAGGCUUCAUAAUACAGAGAGAAUACAGACAUAGCCAUAGCAGAGGACAUAGUUUUCCUUACCUUCUU